Molecule: ribosomal RNA, 492 nt
Filed under: uncultured bacterium
Lineage: Bacteria
Description: partial 16S ribosomal RNA
Rfam family: Bacterial small subunit ribosomal RNA
Source: RNAcentral
AGUGAACGCUGGCGGUAGGCCUAACACAUGCAAGUCGAACGGCCGCACAGUAAGAGCUUGCUCUUACGGGUGGCGAGUGGCGGACGGGUGAGGAAUACAUCGGCAUCUACUUUUUCGUGGGGGAUAACGGAGGGAAACUUCCGCUAAUACCGCAUACGACCUACGGGUGAAAGCAGGAGAUCUUCGGACCUUGCGCGUUUGAAUGAGCCGAUGUCGGAUUAGCUAGUUGGCGGGGUAAAGGCCCACCAAGGCGACGAUCCGUAGCUGGUCUGAGAGGAUGAUCAGCCACACUGGAACUGAGACACGGUCCAGACUCCUACGGGAGGCAGCAGUGGGGAAUAUUGGACAAUGGGCGAAAGCCUGAUCCAGCCAUACCGCGUGGGUGAAGAAGGCCUUCGGGUUGUAAAGCCCUUUUGUUGGGAAAGAAAAGCAGCAGGUGAAUACCCCGCUGUUCUGACGGUACCCAAAGAAUAAGCACCGGCUAACUUCGUG